Molecule: ribosomal RNA, 274 nt
Filed under: uncultured bacterium
Lineage: Bacteria
Description: partial 16S ribosomal RNA
Rfam family: Bacterial small subunit ribosomal RNA
Source: RNAcentral
AUACGGAGGGUGCAAGCGUUACUCGGAAUCACUGGGCGUAAAGCGCGCGCAGGCGGCUAUUUAAGUUGGAUGUGAAAGCCUACGGCUCAACCGUAGAACUGCAUCCAAAACUAUUUAGCUAGAGUGUGGGAGAGGAAGAUGGAAUUAGUUGUGUAUGGGUAAAAUCCGUAGAGAUAACUAGGAAUACCAAAAGCGAAGGCAAUCUUCUGGAACACUACUGACGCUGAGGCGCGAAAGCGUGGGGAGCAAACGGGAUUAGAUACCCUGGUAGUCC